RNAcentral lists this ribosomal RNA (330 nucleotides) under uncultured bacterium. RNAcentral's name for it is "bacterial SSU rRNA". It matches the Rfam family "Bacterial small subunit ribosomal RNA", at positions 568 to 898 of the family's 1533-position model. The record is from RNAcentral.
CGCGUAGGCGAAUUGGUAAGUCAGUGGUGAAAUCCUGCAGCUUAACUGCAGAACUGCCUCUGAUACUGCUAAUCUUGAGUUCGGAAGAGAGAAGCGGAAUUCCAGGUGUAGUAGUGAAAUACGUAGAUAUCUGGAAGAACACCAGUGGCGAAGGCGGCUUCUUGGUCCGUAACUGACGCUGAGGCGCGAAAGCGUGGGGAGCAAACAGGAUUAGAUACCCUGGUAGUCCACGCUGUAAACUAUGAAUACUAGGUGUUGGAUACAUUUGUUUCCAGUGCCGCAGCUAACGCAUUAAGUAUUCCACCUGGGGAGUACGAUCGCAAGGUUGAA